GCUAGGGAGGUGAGGAGCACUGUCAGGGAUAUGUUCACUGAGCCAGGUUUCAGCGAAACACAAUGCUGCGCAUCUGCCAAAGUCUGAGUUUUUCCUGUUGAGAAGCAGCAAUUCAUCCAUCUUGUUUGACAGAGAGCGUACACUGGCGAGGUGAACUGACGGGAGCACAGAGCACAGCUCCCACCACCUGAGUUUUAUGAGCACUCCUGCCCGCU
This is a long non-coding RNA of Thalassophryne amazonica, 215 nucleotides long. RefSeq lists it as uncharacterized. Lineage: Eukaryota; Metazoa; Chordata; Actinopteri; Batrachoidiformes; Batrachoididae. The record is from RefSeq and is a predicted model, not a curated record. The transcript is spliced from 3 exons.